AUUGAACGCUGGCGGCAGGCCUAACACAUGCAAGUCGAGCGGAUGAAGGGAGCUUGUUCCUGGAUCCAGCGGCGGACGGGUGUGUAAUGCCUAGGAAUCUCCCUGGCAUUGGGUGAUGACGACCGGAAACGGGUGCUACUACUGCAGACGUCCUGCUCGUGAAGCUUGGGGAUCUUCGGACCUCACGCUCUCUGAUGAGUCUAGGUCGGAUUGGCUAGUUGGUGGGGUAAAGGCCUACCUAGCCGACGAUCCGUGACUGGUCUGACAGGAUGAUUAGUCACACUGGAGCUGAGACACGGUCCAGGGUCCUACGGGAGGCAGCAGUGGGGAAUAUUGGGCAAUGGGCGAAAGCCUGAUCCAGCGAUGCCGAGUGUGUGAAGAAGGUCUUCGGAUUGUAAAGCACGUUAAGUUGGGAGGAAGGGCAGUAGGUUGAUACCUUGCUGUUUUGACGUUACCAACAGAAUAAGCACCGGCUAACUUCGUG
RNAcentral lists this ribosomal RNA (484 nucleotides) under uncultured bacterium. Its description in RNAcentral is "partial 16S ribosomal RNA". It matches the Rfam family "Bacterial small subunit ribosomal RNA", at positions 30 to 507 of the family's 1533-position model. The record is from RNAcentral.